Felis catus (domestic cat) is the source of this 2336-nucleotide long non-coding RNA. RefSeq lists it as uncharacterized. The transcript has 3 exons. NCBI's taxonomy places the organism in Eukaryota, Metazoa, Chordata, Mammalia, Carnivora, Felidae. The record is from RefSeq and is a predicted model, not a curated record.
GUCACCGCCCCUCCCCCCGGGACGCCCCCCAACCCUCCCUCGCGGUCCCCGUCUCACCGUCCCAGGACGCGCCCCGAUGCCGGGAAGGGCCGCGGGCUCUAGAGGCCCUGUCCAAAAAGGCCGAGGUGGCGUGGGUUUCCUGGAGGAGCUGCGGGCCCCGCUUCUGUCCUGAGCACAGCUCGCUGCCCGAGAUGGAGCGGCCGGGCGGUGCGCCCAGCGCUGUGACCAGCCUAGAGUCCUCACUGAGCCUAGGAAGCUGCCCUCCUCUGAUCCCUGUUUCACAGAAAAGGACACUGAGGCACACAGCCGGGUCACUUACCACAGCCACGCGUCAAAGAUCCAUUCCAGGUCCCAGCUCUUGUCCUCUGGACACUAGAGCCACAUCUGUUCCUCCUGUGGGUGACCUCUUUGCCCAGGGCUGGUGCCACCCUAGGCAUCUGCCCUCCCUGUCAGGGGCCCCAGCUUCGGUCUUUGCCCCCACGGGCCCCAGGACUUCCUCACCACCCUCUUUGCACCCAAGGGCUGUGCAUCCGUGACAGUUUGCAGCCCCUUCCAAAUCCUCCCCCAGUUGGUCACUUGGGACUUCACUGCUUCUACUCAGGCCACCCUCUUACUCCCCCACUCCCCCAACCCCGAAAGCCUUGCCUCACCCCUACUGGGUCCAUCCUGCCACACUGGGUCUAAGACUACCCUCCCUAGGAGACGUUGCCAUUCCCCAUGACUCGAUUACUGUUUUGUUCUUCGCUUUUUCCUCUGUGUGCGUGCCUCAUUAGUUAGGAAAGUUCAGUGGAACCAGCCCUUUGCAUAUGGUUGCAUCUUGGGGUUUACAGCCAGUUUCACAGUUCUUCAAAUUUCACCAGAGCCCAGGGCUGGCCGCACCGCACGCCACAGGUUCAAGAGCAGGUUCGGAGAGUUCUGGGGACAUCCCCUAGGCCGGCACAGCUCUGCCCACGAGCUAAGCCCCUCCGGGGGCCGUGCAGACUCGGAUGCCCUCUUGGUUUGUACGAGAUUCACAAUUCAAGGAUGGCCCAACCUCCUGUCUCCCAGGACCUCCCUCCAGGGAGGGCGCUGCAGCCCUGCACACAGCAGGCCCUCGGCACCACCGGCUGCUGCCCUUGAAUGUCAGCAUCGCCAAGCUGGCACCAGAUUCCACGGGUACUGUUACUGGCGGGAGAGCCUGACUCUUGGGAACCGGAGGGCUCGGUGCUUGGAUUCCCGGCAAAAGAUAUACGUGAGGACUCUGCCUCGAGUACAGACAGCCAGAGGGAAGAGAGAGACAGAGCAUGAACGGGGGAGACACAGAAUCCGAAACAGGCUCCAGGCUCUGGGCUGUCAGCACGGAGCCCGAUGCGGGGCUCGAACCCACAGACUGUGAGAUCAUGACCUGAGCCGAAGUCGGACGCCCAACCGACUGAGCCCCCCAGGCGCCCCGGCGGUUACUCUCUUUUACGCUGGUCCUGAGUGCCGCUGUAUCGCAGAUAUUGCCUCUGCUCCCAACACUCAUGCACGGGGGGCAGGGAUACCCCUUUUCCCGAGGAGCAAACAGCCCAGAGAGGUUGUCCCGUCCACAAAGCUAGGAUGCCCCGAGGUUCAGAGCCUGUGCUCCUGCGCCCGAGGCCCCUGCGGUGCUCCGUUGGGCACCGAUGCCUCCAAGUGGCCGAAGCCGGGGCUGGAAAGCUGCAGGAGAGCUGAGGAGAAGACUUGCAUUGUUCCUCUGCUUCUGGAAGCCGGAAGUGUCAUCAUGCCUGAGGUGCAAGCUCCCGGGGAUGAUGGAAACCAGUAACUGGAUCACCUGCCUCUGGGUCAGGAUACAGACCCUGCCGGGGAAGGUCCCUGCCCGCCUCUCCAUCACGGCCUCUGCGGGACUGCCGGUCAAGGGCAAAGCCAAAUCUUAAACGUCCUCUCCACAAACGUCAGUGAAAAGCCUCAGCCGCGGGAGGCGGCCCUCACCUGUUCCACCUGCCGGAGACACGGUGGUUUCCACUGUUACACUGUUGUGAGGUUCACGGCUGGAGUGUCCGUGCCCAUCUGCGUGUUUACGGACGUGUACAGAUGAGUGUUCCCUGUGUGCGACGUCUGUCUCCCCCGAGGGUACUGCGGAAAGUAAUUUGUAAAAGGGCUCUGUUCAAUCGCCUUACAGAAAAAUACGCUUUCAUAUCAAUGAUGUACCCAGGAAAAAUCGAAAAUUGUCUUUCGUCUGGUGAAAGGACAAAGGUUUCUUGGGUGAUUGGUCUCUCUUGAUGGAAUUAUGAAAGGUUUUCCUUUACCUUUUAGGUCAUCUACCUAGAAGACAAAGAUUCUGUGUUUUAUUAAAAUACUUGCCUGCGUCCUCUGUU